CCAAAUCCCAUUUUUCUCCCCAGUUUAUGACCCAAAUCCCAUUUUGAUCCCAAUUCCACAACUCAAAUCGUAGCAAAUCCCAUUUUAUCCCCAGUUUAAGACCCAAAUCCCAACAAAUCCCAUUUUUCUCCCCAAUUCCACAACCCAAAUCCCACCAAAUCCUAUUUUUAUCCCCAGUUUAUGACCCAAAUCCCACCAAAACCCAUUUCUCCCGAAUUCCAUGACCCAAAUCCCAACAAAUCCCAUUUUUCUCUCCAAUUACACCACCCAAAUCCCAUUUUCUCCCCAAUUCCAUGACCCAAAUCCCACCAAAUCCCAUUUUAUCCCCAGUUUAAGCCUCAAAUCCCACCAAAUCCCAUUUUUCUGCUCAGUUUAUGACCCAAAUCCCAACAAAUCCCAUUUUUAUCCCCAGUUUAUGACACAAAUCCUACAAAAUCCCAAUUAUAUCCUCAGUUUAUGGCACUCGAUGAUGGGUUGGGAGGACCUUUAGGAUCACAGAUCUGUGAGAUCCUACAGUGGAUGGGGUGGAGGGGACCUUUAAGAUCAUACCAGAAUGGGAUCCCAAAAGAGUUGGGUUUUAUGGACGUGAAAGACCAUAGAACUGUGGGAUCCUACAAUGGUUGGGAUGGAGAGGACCUUUAGGAUCAUGGAACCAUGAGAUCCCACAAGGGUUGGGGUGGAAGGAAUCUCAAAGACCAUAACACCACAGGAUCCUACAAGGGUUGGGAUGGGAGGACCUUUAGGAUCAUGGAACCACGGGAUCCUACAAUGGUUGGGGUGGAGAGGACCUUUAGGACCGUGGCUGCGUGGGAUCCCACAAGGUUAGGGUUGUAGGGAUCUCAAAGACCACAGAACUGUAGGAUCCUACAACGGUUGGGAUGGAGAGGACCUGUAGGAUCGUGGAACCACGGGAUCCUAUAAUGGUCGGGGUGGAAGGGACCUUAAAGAUCAUAACACCAAUAGAUCCUACAAGGGUUGGGAUGGGAGGACCUUUUGGAUCGUGGCACUGUGGGAUCCCACAAGGGUUGGGUUUUAAAGACCAUACAACCAUGAGAUCCUACAGCGCUGUGCAAAGCUGUGAUGUGGAUUUUGGGUGAAAUAAAACCCAAAUUUGGGGGGAGAUU
Molecule: long non-coding RNA, 1124 nt
Filed under: Gallus gallus (chicken)
Lineage: Eukaryota; Metazoa; Chordata; Aves; Galliformes; Phasianidae
Description: lncRNA (ENSGALG00010000214.1)
Source: RNAcentral